GAUGAACGCUGGCGGCGUGCCUAAUACAUGCAAGUCGAGCGAACAGAUGAGGAGCUUGCUCCUCUGACGUUAGCGGCGGACGGGUGAGUAACACGUGGAUAACCUACCUAUAAGACUGGGAUAACUUCGGGAAACCGGAGCUAAUACCGGAUAAUAUAUUGAACCGCAUGGUUUAAUAGUGAAAGACGGUUUUGCUGUCACUUAUAGCUGGAUCCGCGCCGCAUUAGCUAGUUGGUAAGGUAACGGCUUACCAAGGCAACGAUGCGUAGCCGACCUGAGAGGGUGAUCGGCCACACUGGAACUGAGACACGGUCCAGACUCCUACGGGAGGCAGCAGUAGGGAAUCUUCCGCAAUGGGCGAAAGCCUGACGGAGCAACGCCGCGUGAGUGAUGAAGGUCUUCGGAUCGUAAAACUCUGUUAUUAGGGAAGAACAAAUGUGUAAGUAACUAUGCACGUCUUGACGGUACCUAAUCAGAAAGCCACGGCUAACUACGUG
This 497-nucleotide ribosomal RNA is filed under the name uncultured bacterium. Its description in RNAcentral is "partial 16S ribosomal RNA". It matches the Rfam family "Bacterial small subunit ribosomal RNA", at positions 28 to 507 of the family's 1533-position model. The record is from RNAcentral.